AGAGUUUGAUCCUGGCUCAGAACGAACGCUGGCGGCAGGCCUAACACAUGCAAGUCGAGCGAACCAGCAAUGGUGAGCGGCGCACGGGUGAGGAACACGUGGGAAUGUACCCCUUGGUGCGGAAUAACGUAGGGAAACUUACGCUAAUACCGCAUAAUGACUUCGGUCCAAAGAUUUAUCGCCGAGGGAUCAGCCCGCGUCUGAUUAGCUAGUUGGUGAGGUAAUGGCUCACCAAGGCAACGAUCAGUAGCUGGUCUGAGAGGAUGAUCAGCCACACUGGAACUGAGACACGGUCCAGACUCCUACGGGAGGCAGCAGUGAGGAAUAUUGGACAAUGGGCGCAAGCCUGAUCCAGCCAUGCCGCGUGAGUGAUGAAGGCCUUCGGGUUGUAAAGCUCUUUCAAUGG
This 406-nucleotide ribosomal RNA is filed under the name uncultured bacterium. RNAcentral describes it as "bacterial SSU rRNA". It matches the Rfam family "Bacterial small subunit ribosomal RNA", at positions 8 to 442 of the family's 1533-position model. The record is from RNAcentral.